UAAUUUAUUUCGAUUCCGAUUUCAGUCAUGAAUCAGACACCUCUUAAAGAUUAAUUCAUAGGAUUCAUGUGCUAAAUCACCUUCUCUAUCAGACAAUUGGACAUGGAACCUACUAAACCCAAUAAAAUUCCGUCCAACUCCUCAAUUUCUUUCCUAAAGCACAACUAGGAUUAGAUCGGGUUGGGUUGGGUCAGUGUUGGAUCACAUUUGUAAAUUUCAGUUGAUAUUUUACUAGAUUUUCUCUCAGUUUGUCAAGACAAUAUAUGAAUGCUGUCUAUCUCCAUUAGUUUAGAUUUUAGAAUUUAGGAAGGAUGAAUAGCUUAUAUGAGAUAUAUUAUAAGUUGCUGCU
Molecule: long non-coding RNA, 349 nt
Filed under: Elaeis guineensis (African oil palm)
Lineage: Eukaryota; Viridiplantae; Streptophyta; Magnoliopsida; Arecales; Arecaceae
Description: long non-coding RNA (EGUI_LNC003952)
Source: RNAcentral